CAGCUUCCUGUUGACAGUCAACAAGGGAAAAGAGACAGGAAAAGAUGGAGACAUUCCAGAGUGCAUCAGACAAGUCCAGUAUAUAAGAGAAGUGUAGAUCCCGUUAAGUCCAUGAAGUGGAGUGCAGGAGUAAUCCAAGGAGCAUCUUCACCCAGCACAGACUAGUCUCCUCCUGCACUACAGGCCGUACCUCACCUAGCGCGAUGUGCUUCACUUACUGACGUCGGAUGCAGUGCAGAGCAUCUCUCCCUGCGCUGUCAACGAUAUCAGGAGAAGGAAGGAUCAAGUAUGUGGCUGAUCUUUGUUUCCCUGAUCCCCACUGAAAAUAUAUGCCUGUGCAUCUAUAUGGAAGGUUAGAAGCAAUUUG
Long non-coding RNA from Hyla sarda, 367 nucleotides. RefSeq lists it as uncharacterized. The transcript has 3 exons. NCBI's taxonomy places the organism in Eukaryota, Metazoa, Chordata, Amphibia, Anura, Hylidae. The record is from RefSeq and is a predicted model, not a curated record.